This 253-nucleotide ribosomal RNA is filed under the name uncultured bacterium. RNAcentral's name for it is "partial 16S ribosomal RNA". It matches the Rfam family "Bacterial small subunit ribosomal RNA", at positions 524 to 776 of the family's 1533-position model. The record is from RNAcentral.
UACGAAGGGGGCUAGCGUUGCUCGGAAUCACUGGGCGUAAAGCGCGCGCAGGCGGUCCUUUAAGUCUGAUGUGAAAGCCCACGGCUCAACCGUGGAGGGUCAUUGGAAACUGGGGGACUUGAGUACAGAAGAGGAAAGCGGAAUUCCACGUGUAGCGGUGAAAUGCGUAGAGAUGUGGAGGAACACCAGUGGCGAAGGCGGCUUUCUGGUCUGUAACUGACGCUGAGGCGCGAAAGCGUGGGGAGCAAACAGG